GACGAACGCUGGCGGCGUGCUUAACACAUGCAAGUCGAACGGAAAGGCCCUGCUCUUGUUGGUUGCUCGAGUGGCGAACGGGUGAGUAACACGUGAGUAACCUGCCCCUGACUUUGGGAUAACUUCAGGAAACUGGGGCUAAUACCGGAUAGGAGCUCCUGCUGCAUGGUGGUGGUUGGUAAGAUUCGGCGGUUGGGGAUGGACUCGCGGCUUAUCAGCUUGUUGGUGGGGUAGUGGCUUACCAAGCCUUUGACGGAUAGCCGGCCUGGGAGGGUAGACGGCCACAUUGCGACUGAGAUACGGCCCAGACUCGUACGGGAGGCAGCAGGGGGGAAUAUGACACAAUGGGCGCAAGCCUGAUGCAGCAGCGCCGCGUGCGGGAUGACGGCCUACGGGUUGUAAACCGCUUUCGCCUGUGACGAAGCGUGAUUGACGGUAAUGAGUAAAGAAGCAACGGCUAACUACGUG
RNAcentral lists this ribosomal RNA (468 nucleotides) under uncultured bacterium. RNAcentral describes it as "partial 16S ribosomal RNA". It matches the Rfam family "Bacterial small subunit ribosomal RNA", at positions 28 to 507 of the family's 1533-position model. The record is from RNAcentral.